Molecule: ribosomal RNA, 169 nt
Filed under: Selene brevoortii (Mexican lookdown)
Lineage: Eukaryota; Metazoa; Chordata; Actinopteri; Carangiformes; Carangidae
Description: partial small subunit ribosomal RNA
Source: RNAcentral
CACCGCGGUUAUACGAGAGGCUCAAGUUGACAGACAACGGCGUAAAGCGUGGUUAAGGAAAAUAUUCAACUAAAGCGGAACGCCCUCACAGCUGUUAUACGCUUCUGAGGGUAUGAACCCCAACUACGAAGGUGGCUUUACAUUACCUGAACCCACGAAAGCUAAGAAA